UUGUCUUGUUGUCAGCCAUAUUGUUACCCUUAGCCAUUUUAUGGAACAAAAUGUCUGGUGUCUAAACUGAUUUCUUUAUACUCUGAGAAAGACUUAUUCUAUUUUUCUGGACUAUGCUGAACUAUUGAACUAUUUUUAUUUUUAUUUUUGUAGAGUUAGCCAGAGAGAGAGGAAGUGUUAGCUGACCCAGGGAUGGAUGUACUAUGUGUGUUUUUGAUAUAUGUUGAGUGUGCCAAGGAUGGAUUCCCAUGUUUUGAGGAACUGCGUGAGGAUAUGACUGGUUUUGACUGGACUUUUGGAAUAGGGAAAUGGUUAAAAGAUAUAGGACGCAAGGUCCUGG
Non-coding RNA from Pelobates cultripes (western spadefoot toad), 340 nucleotides. NCBI's taxonomy places the organism in Eukaryota, Metazoa, Chordata, Amphibia, Anura, Pelobatidae. The record is from the annotation of a GenBank genome assembly.